This 505-nucleotide ribosomal RNA is filed under the name Sciara helvola. RNAcentral's name for it is "partial 16S ribosomal RNA". Lineage: Eukaryota; Metazoa; Arthropoda; Insecta; Diptera; Sciaridae. The record is from RNAcentral.
GUCUUUUAGAGUUUUAUAAAAAGUUUAACCUGCCCAUUGAAUUUAUUAAAAGGCUGCGGUAUUUUGACCGUACAAAGGUAGCAUAAUCAUUAGUUUUUUAAUUGAAAACUCGUAUGAAUGGUUGAAUGAGAUACUAGCUGUUUUAAUUAAAAUAUAGAAUUUUACUUUUUAAUUAAAAGGUUAAAAUAAAAUUAAAAGACGAGAAGACCCUAUAGAUUUUUAUAUUUAAUAUAGUAUUAAAUUUUUAGUUUAUUAGUUUUAUUAUUUUUUUAAGUAUUUUGUUGGGGUGACAAUAAAAUUUAAUUAACUUUUAUUUUUUUUUAACAUUAAUAUAUGAAUUUUUGAUCCAUUAAUAAUGAUUAUAAGAUUAAAUUACCUUAGGGAUAACAGCGUAAUUUUUUUUUAAGUUCUUAUUAGUAAAAAAGUUUGCGACCUCGAUGUUGGAUUAAGAUUAAUUUUAGGUGUAGCAGUUUAAAAUUUAAGUCUGUUCGACUUUUAAAUUCUU